Non-coding RNA from Macaca mulatta (Rhesus monkey), 2679 nucleotides. The record is from RefSeq and is a predicted model, not a curated record. NCBI's taxonomy places the organism in Eukaryota, Metazoa, Chordata, Mammalia, Primates, Cercopithecidae.
UGGGAACCCACCUCCCUGCCCCCCCACUCCAGCCCCCCAAAUUUUAAGUACAAUCAAACCAGCCGUCAAAGGAAUAACUUUCUGAUCGCUCCUGGUGCCAUUUCAAACACCCCCGACGGCACGUCUGUUUCUUAGGCAAAAUAUCAAUCACCGUUUGAAGUUAUUGGCAGAAUGGAGUGAAUUCACCGUGAGCGAGCAGUCAGUGGACAUGUCGGAGGCAACGUGAAAAACAGAUUCCAAGAAGGAAGUUCUAAGCCUCUCAGACAUCAGCCGCGUCUCCCUGUCCCCGCCCCACGGGCGAGGCUAUUCCAGCCCUUGCUAUCACUUCCUUUCGAAGCAGCAUCUUCCAGAAGCAGAAAAUCCCAAAUUCUGGGAAGACGAGGUUCUGACCAACUGUUCUGCGAAGGGAGCAGGGGAAGCUUCUGGAGGUGUCUUUUCUCUGAGUGUCAAGACGGGGCACAGCAAAGCUGCGGAAGGCAGGCAGCCUGGCUCUGGAUUCGAAUCCAGAUGCAGCCACUUGCUGUAGGUGUGGUGUCUGCGGUGACCUGGCCCCUUGCCUCAGCUUCUUCACAGUAAGGCAUAGUAAGGCACGAAUCAACAACAGUACCGGCCUCACAGGACUGCUUCAGGGUGAACUCAACAGGGACAUAGGUACUAGCUCUCUGAACGCUAACUGGUACACAGCAAGUGCAUAAUAAAUGGUGACCAUCAUGACAUGGCAAAGUAGGCAUCCUCGCCUGACCCAGCGAGCAUGGUGAAUGUGUCAAGGACAUCAGGCGCACGUUUAUUAACGAUCUGGAGUGGCUGAUACUGAGCAUGUAAAUUCAAUUUAUAGAAUCACAACAGGUACGGAAAGAGAAAGCAAGAGACAUGGUGAGAAAACUCAAGAAACCAGAAACAUCCAUCAGAAGACAGAUCUAGAUGGGAGCUCACGGUCCAGCUGCAGAGGCUCAAGGGGCCGACUGGCUGGGGAUGAGCUCUCCUGCCCUCGAGGGGCGGAGCUGCGGGACAGUCACUCGGAGCUGGACCCCCACGAGGAGAGGCCUCCCUGCACUGCUGAGCACCCACACGGGAACCCUGUGGGCUGAGGAGGAGAGCGCCUCGGGGCUCAUCCCUCAAGAGCAGAGGGUUUGUCCACGUGGCCUCCUUGUCUCCCUACUUCCUCUUUUGCAAACACAACCCCAUUCUAUUCUGCACCCUGCAGCCAGAGCAAUCUUUAAAAAUAAUCAAGUCUCUGACUUCUCACACUAUGCUCAGGUUAAAACCCUGCGAGGCCCACCCCACCUCACCCCUGCACCUCCCAUCUCCUUCAUCGCUCACCAUGUGCCAGCCAGCCUGGCCUUUUGCCUGCUCCCACCCCAGGGCCUUUGCACAUGCAGUUUUGGCUGUGGGAAGACUUUCCCUGGGUCUGUCAUCCCACAUGUGCUCUCAUCUCUUCUCUUACUCUGCAUCGCCUGGUGGCCUGUCUUGGUCACGAGGGGCAGUGCAGGGUAUGGUGAGGAGCAUGGAUUAUGCCGGAUGUGGGAGCAGCUGUGUGUCUCCACUUCCUUGUCUGUACCAUGGAGUGAACUAUGGCCCUGUCUCAUUGGGUUGUUUGAGGAUCAUAAAGAACCCAGAAAGCACCUGGUGUGUAGGAAGCACUGAGUAAGUGUUGGCUGCUAUGAGAAACCAUCUUCCUUCUAAGUGCUUGCUUGUUCAUCGUCAAGUGCACCUCACCAGCAAGAAAGUGCCUCAAUGACCCUUAUUUAUCCUGGUGCUGUAUCCAUGAGGGCUAACACCAUACCUGACACAACAAGUGGCCCUCAAUUAAUAUGUGAAAGAGGAAGGAAUCCAUGCAUAAUGCCCGCUCCCCAGCACUCAUAUCUUUCCACCAAAGCCAGAGACCAGAGGAAGGCAUGGAGGUGAACGGAAACUGAAGGGUCUUUCAAAAACUAAACCUGCAACUACCAUCCGACCCAGCAAUUGCACUCCUGGGCAUUCACCCCAGAGAAACGAAGACUUAAUGUGCACACAAAAACCUGUGCCUGAGUUCACAGCAGCUUUACUUUUCAUAGCAAAAAAAACAAAAACAAAAAACUGGAAGCAAUCCAGAUGUCCCUCAACAGGUGAGUGGUUAAACUAACCAUGAUGCGUUCAUACCUUGGAACACUACGCAGCAACAAGAAGGAAUGAACUAUUGAUACCUACGGCAACAAGGAGACGUCUUCAGAGAAUUACGUUAAGUGAAAAAAGCCAAUCUCAAAAGGCUACAUAGUGUAUGACUCCAUUUCUAUAACACAUUUAAAAUGACAACAUUAUAGAAAUGGAGAAGAGAUUAGUGGUUUCAUGGGUAAGGGGGUGGAUACAGUUAGAAAAGGGUAGAAUGAGAAGUUCUUGUGAUGGGACUGUUGUGUCUUGACUGGUGGUUACACAAAUCUAUGCAUGCAAUAAAAUUGCAUUGAACGAAAACACACAGACACACACACUCGAAUGAGUGCGUGUAAAACUGGGGAAAUGUGAGUAAGGUUGAUGGUUUGUGACAAAUGUCAACUGCUGGCUUUAGCACUGUACUACAGUUAUGUAAGAUGGUACCACUGUGGGAAGCUGGAGGAUAUCUACAUAGAACCGUCUCUGUAUUAUUUUUUUACGACUGCAUGCUAACAAACAAUUGUCUCAAAAUAAAAAGUUUUCUGAAAACAA